This 408-nucleotide ribosomal RNA is filed under the name uncultured bacterium. RNAcentral's name for it is "partial 16S ribosomal RNA". It matches the Rfam family "Bacterial small subunit ribosomal RNA", at positions 29 to 526 of the family's 1533-position model. The record is from RNAcentral.
AGUGAACGCUGGCGGCGUGCCUAAUACAUGCAAGUCGAACGGACUGGCGCACGGGUGAGUAAUAUAUAGCUAAUCUGCCCCUUGCUGGAGGAAAACAGUUAGAAAUGACUGCUAAUACUCCAUAGCAAGGGAUGAGACUAUAUCGUAUCAGCUAGUCGGUGGGGUAACGGCCUAGCGAGGCGACGAAGCGUAACUGGUCUGAGCGGAUGAUCAGUCACAUUGGAACUUAGACACGGUCCAAAUUCCUACGGGAGUGAGCAGUAGGUAAUAUUGCGCAAGGGGGGAGACCCUGACGAAGCAACGCCGCGUGGAGUAUGACACUUUUCGGAGCGUAAACUCCUUUUGUUAGGGAAGCGGUACCUAACGAAUAAGCCACGGCUAACUACGUGCCAGCCGCCGCGGUAAUAC